UACGUAGGGUGCAAGCGUUGUCCGGAAUUACUGGGCGUAAAGAGCUCGUAGGCGGUCUGUCGCGUCUGCUGUGAAAACUCAGGGCUUAACCCUGAGCUUGCAGUGGGUACGGGCAGACUAGAGUGCGGUAGGGGAGACUGGAAUUCCUGGUGUAGCGGUGAAAUGCGCGAGAUAUCAGGAGGAACACCGGUGGCGAAGGCGGGGUCUCUGGGCCGUA
This 217-nucleotide ribosomal RNA is filed under the name uncultured bacterium. RNAcentral describes it as "partial 16S ribosomal RNA". It matches the Rfam family "Bacterial small subunit ribosomal RNA", at positions 524 to 738 of the family's 1533-position model. The record is from RNAcentral.